This 301-nucleotide ribosomal RNA is filed under the name uncultured bacterium. Its description in RNAcentral is "partial 16S ribosomal RNA". It matches the Rfam family "Bacterial small subunit ribosomal RNA", at positions 509 to 807 of the family's 1533-position model. The record is from RNAcentral.
CAGCAGCCGCGGGAAUACAGAGGGUGCGAGCGUUAAUCGGAUUUACUGGGCGUAAAGCGUGCGUAGGCGGCUUCUUAAGUCGGAUGUGAAAUCCCUGAGCUUAACUUAGGAAUUGCAUUCGAUACUGGGAAGCUAGAGUAUGGGAGAGGAUGGUAGAAUUCCAGGUGUAGCGGUGAAAUGCGUAGAGAUCUGGAGGAAUAACGAUGGCGAAGGCAGCCAUCUGGCCUAAUACUGACGCUGAGGUACGAAAGCAUGGGGAGCAAACAGGAUUAGAUACCCCAGUAGUCCCUGUCUCUUAUAC